GGUUUAAUCAGAUUAAGUAGUGAUUAUUAAAUGGUCUAGCUCCAUUUUUGGAAAAACUGAAUAUUCAGGGUUGUAGCAGUUAACGUGCAUGGUAACAUUGUGUAAAUACAAGGAGUAAUAAGAUUGCUAUUUUGGAGUUAAGAAAAACGUUCCUAUUUUGUGGCCUAAUAAGAAAUUCCAAAUAGGGGAUUUCAUCGUCUUUU
This is a non-coding RNA of Pelobates cultripes (western spadefoot toad), 203 nucleotides long. The record is from the annotation of a GenBank genome assembly. Lineage: Eukaryota; Metazoa; Chordata; Amphibia; Anura; Pelobatidae.